Molecule: ribosomal RNA, 253 nt
Filed under: uncultured bacterium
Lineage: Bacteria
Description: partial 16S ribosomal RNA
Rfam family: Bacterial small subunit ribosomal RNA
Source: RNAcentral
UACGAGGGGGGCGAGCGUUGUUCGGAAUUACUGGGCGUAAAGGGCUCGUCGGCGGCCAACUAAGUCAGACGUGAAAUCCCUCGGCUUAACCGGGGAACGGCCUCUGAUACUGGCUGGCUGGAGUUCGGGAGAGGGAUGCGGAAUUCCAGGUGUAGCGGUGAAAUGCGUAGAUAUCUGGAGGAACACCGGUGGCGAAGGCGGCAUCCUGGACCGACACUGACGCUGAGGAGCGAAAGCCAGGGGAGCAAACGGG